Molecule: unclassified non-coding RNA, 189 nt
Filed under: rhizosphere metagenome
Description: partial ribosomal RNA internal transcribed spacer region
Source: RNAcentral
AAAUACUUGCGCCGGCCCCUAGGGGCUGUGCGCUACUAUUUACCCACCCUUUGCCUAUGUGUACCCUUAUCGCUUCCUCGGCAGGCUCGCCUGCCGGCAGGAACCACCCAAAACCCUUGCAUCUAUACAUGAAAACUUCUGAUACCAACCUAAAUUAUUACAACUUUUAACAAUGGAUCUCUUGGUUCU